UGGAGAGACAGCUACUGCUCGGGUCGCUCACUGACUGCUGGAAACAUGCGUCCCUGUUCACACACAGACUGGAAUGUCUCCGAGUCGGAGAAAAGGCCGACUCGAUGACAAACCUCUGAACUUUCACUCCUAAAGCAAACACUUCGCUGGGAAGACUCUAUGCAAGACUCGAGGUGUAAAAAGGUGAAAGGGAAGGAAGGGGAGCCCGGUGGGCGGAGAGUCAAACAUACACAGUCUCCAAGCUGCCAAUUUGCUGCCAAUACUCAUCCUGCACCAGGAGAUGGCAGAUUAUCAAGACGAAACAUCAAAAUUCCAAAGAAGAAGGCAAAGCAGGUGAAACAAUCGCAGCUCGUGUCUCCUUUGACCUUUUCAGUCUUGAACUUCCUCAGCCUGGCUGUUAAAGACAGUCAGAAAAGAGCGAGGCAUAUAUGAAAAAAAAAAUUUAAAUGCUUCAUUUUUUUUUUCAGUGCAGAAAGUGAUAUUGGCCAU
This is a long non-coding RNA of Poeciliopsis prolifica (blackstripe livebearer), 489 nucleotides long. RefSeq lists it as uncharacterized. The record is from RefSeq and is a predicted model, not a curated record. NCBI's taxonomy places the organism in Eukaryota, Metazoa, Chordata, Actinopteri, Cyprinodontiformes, Poeciliidae. The transcript has 3 exons.